CACCAUUACUCCUGGUCUGACCAC
RNAcentral lists this non-coding RNA (24 nucleotides) under Arabidopsis thaliana (thale cress). The record is from RNAcentral. Lineage: Eukaryota; Viridiplantae; Streptophyta; Magnoliopsida; Brassicales; Brassicaceae.